RNAcentral lists this ribosomal RNA (492 nucleotides) under uncultured bacterium. RNAcentral describes it as "partial 16S ribosomal RNA". It matches the Rfam family "Bacterial small subunit ribosomal RNA", at positions 29 to 507 of the family's 1533-position model. The record is from RNAcentral.
AGUGAACGCUGGCGGUAGGCCUAACACAUGCAAGUCGAACGGCAGCACAGUAAGAGCUUGCUCUUACGGGUGGCGAGUGGCGGACGGGUGAGGAAUACAUCGGAAUCUACUUUUUCGUGGGGGAUAACGUAGGGAAACUUACGCUAAUACCGCAUGCGACCUACGGGUGAAAGCAGGGGAUCUUCGGACCUUGCGCGAUUGAAUGAGCCGAUGUCGGAUUAGCUAGUUGGCGGGGUAAAGGCCCACCAAGGCGACGAUCCGUAGCUGGUCUGAGAGGAUGAUCAGCCACACUGGAACUGAGACACGGUCCAGACUCCUACGGGAGGCAGCAGUGGGGAAUAUUGGACAAUGGGCGAAAGCCUGAUCCAGCAAUACCGCGUGGGUGAAGAAGGCCUUCGGGUUGUAAAGCCCUUUUGUUGGGAAAGAAAAGCAGCAGGUUAAUACCCCGCUGUUCUGACGGUACCCAAAGAAUAAGCACCGGCUAACUUCGUG